CUUUGGAAUGUUUGGCUCUAGAGGAGAUAAGAGAUAGAGCAAGAGGCUGGGGCGCGGUGGCUCUCUUAUAAUUCUAAUUACUUGGCAGACUGAGGUGGGAGGAUUGCUCCAGCCCAAGACUUCAAGGCCAGCCUGGGCAACAUAGCAAGACUCCCAUCUCCGAAAGUAAAUUAAUUAAAAAGAAUAAAAAAUAAAAAAAUAAGGCAAAAGCUGGAAGGCAGCAAUGCAAGGUUUGUGUUUUUCAAAUGAGGUUUUAACUGUUUAAAUGCUGAUGGGGGGCCGGACACGGUGGCUUACGCCUGUAAUCCCAGCAAUUUGGGAGGCUGAGAUGGGUGGAUCACUUGAGGUCAGGAGUUCAAGACUAGUCUGGCCAACAUGGUGAAACCUUCUCUACUAAAAAUACAAAAAUUAGCCGGGUGCAGUGGUGGGCACCUGUAAUCCCAGCUACUUGGGAGGCUGAGACAGAAGAAUCACUUGAACCCAGGAAGUGGAGGUUGCUGUGAGCUGAGAUCACACCACUGUACUCCAGCCUGGACGACAGAGUGACUCUGUCUCAAAAAAAUUGCUGUUGAGAAGGAGGGAGUUGGGAGACAAGAGGUGAACAGUGUGGAGAGUAAUGGAGUGAGCCUCCCGAGAAUGUGGUGGGGAUGGAAUCUAAGUUGGCAGGGGGAUUAGCUAGGAGAGGAGGGGGAUACCACAAUCCCUUUCUGGUUGUAACUGGAAGGAAUGAGGUAAGGACAAGGCCUGUGGCAGGUCAGUCCACUUGUUUAUGACCGGAGUUCAGAAAGUUCUCCUAUGUGAUUCCCAGUGUCUCUGUGAAUAAGAGAAAGCCUCAGAUACUAAAUUAGGAGGGGUCUGGUGGGAUCUAAGAUUGGCAGAGCAUGCAAGAAGUUUGAAAAAGCUUGGGGGUGAACAGGAGCAAUAUAGAACUGUUCAGAAAACAGAAGGAUUACUGGGAUAUAUGACCUCGUUUUUACCGUGGCACCAAUACGAGCAACUUUGUUAUUUUUUUUCUCCAGUUGCCCUUGGUGAUCAAGAUUUAGACACAGGGCGGCUGGGCGCAGUGGCUCACACCUGCAAUCCCAGCACUUUGGGAGGAUGAGAUGGGUGGAUCACCUGAGGUCAGGAGUUGAAGACCAGCCUGGCCAACAUGAUGAAACCCCGUCUCUACUAAAAAUACAAAAAUUAGGCAGGCAUGAUGGCAGCUAAUCCCAGCUACUCAGGAGGCUGAGGCAUGAGAAUCGCUUGAACCUGGGAGGUGGAGGUUGCAGUGAGCCGAGAUCGUGCCACCUCACUCCAGCCUAGGUGACAGACCGAGACUCCGUCUCAGAAAAAAAAAAAAAAAAAAAAAA
RNAcentral lists this long non-coding RNA (1352 nucleotides) under Macaca fascicularis (crab-eating macaque). RNAcentral's name for it is "lncRNA (ENSMFAG00000055527.1)". The record is from RNAcentral. Lineage: Eukaryota; Metazoa; Chordata; Mammalia; Primates; Cercopithecidae.